CAACAGUUGGAAACGACUGCUAAUACCGCAUAAGCCCACGGGUCGGCAUCGACCAGAGGGAAAAGGAGCAAUCCGCUUUGAGAUGGCCUCGCGUCCGAUUAGCUAGUUGGUGAGGUAAUGGCCCACCAAGGCAACGAUCGGUAGCCGGACUGAGUGGUUGAACGGCCACAUUGGGACUGAGACACGGCCCAGACUCCUACGGGAGGCAGCAGUGGGGAAUAUUGCACAAUGGGGGAAACCCUGAUGCAGCGACGCCGCGUGGAGGAAGAAGGUCUUCGGAUUGUAAACUCCUGUUGUUGAGGAAGAUAAUGACGGUACUCAACAAGGAAGUGACGGCUAACUACGUGCCAGCAGCCGCGGUAAAACGUAGGUCACAAGCGUUGUCCGGAAUUACUGGGUGUAAAGGGAGCGCAGGCGGGAAGACAAGUUGGAAGUGAAAUCCAUGGGCUCAACCCAUGAACUGCUUUCAAAACUGUUUUUCUUGAGUAGUGCAGAGGUAGGCGGAAUUCCCGGUGUAGCGGUGGAAUGCGUAGAUAUCGGGAGGAACACCAGUGGCGAAGGCGGCCUACUGGGCACCAACUGACGCUGAGGCUCGAAAGUGUGGGUAGCAAACAGGAUUAGAUACCCUGGUAGUCCACACCGU
Molecule: ribosomal RNA, 643 nt
Filed under: uncultured bacterium
Lineage: Bacteria
Description: bacterial SSU rRNA
Rfam family: Bacterial small subunit ribosomal RNA
Source: RNAcentral